RNAcentral lists this ribosomal RNA (434 nucleotides) under uncultured Clostridium sp. RNAcentral describes it as "partial 16S ribosomal RNA". It matches the Rfam family "Bacterial small subunit ribosomal RNA", at positions 341 to 792 of the family's 1533-position model. Lineage: Bacteria; Bacillati; Bacillota; Clostridia; Eubacteriales; Clostridiaceae. The record is from RNAcentral.
ACGGAAGGCAGCAGUGGGGAAUAUUGCACAAUGGGGGAAACCCUGAUGCAGCGACGCCGCGUGAGUGAAGAAGUAUUUCGGUAUGUAAAGCUCUAUCAGCAGGGAAGAUAAUGACGGUACCUGACUAAGAAGCGCCGGCUAAAUACGUGCCAGCAGCCGCGGUAAUACGUAUGGUGCAAGCGUUAUCCGGAUUUACUGGGUGUAAAGGGAGCGUAGACGGCUGUGCAAGUCUGAAGUGAAAGCCCCGGGCUCAACUCGGGAACUGCUUUGGAAACUGUAUAGCUAGAGUGCAGGAGAGGUAAGUGGAAUUCCUAGUGUAGCGGUGAAAUGCUUAGAUAUUAGGAGGAACACCAGUGGCGAAGGCGGCUUACUGGACUGUAACUGACGUUGAGGCUCGAAAGCGUGGGGAGCAAACAGGAUUAGAUACCCUGGUA